GAAAUCAGUUCAGCACUAAGUCACUUUGUCUAUAUGGCAAAUGUGAGAUGCAGUGUAUGGAAUAUCAAUAUUCUAGUAUGAGAAAUUAACGAUUUAAGUCCUUCUUAAAUGAGGCCAUUUACCCAUAGAGGGUGCCAGGCCCGUAUAACGUUAAUGAUUAUUAGAUGAUGUUUCCAAAGAGUCGUGUUGCUUGAUAGUGCAGCACUAAGUGGGUGGUAAACUCCAUCUAAAACUAAAUAUAACCAUGAGACCGAUAGUAAACAAGUACCGUGAGGGAAAGUUGAAAAGAACUCUGAAUAGAGAGUUAAAUAGUACGUGAAACUGCUUAGAGGUUAAGCCCGAUGAACCUGAAUAUCCGUUAUGGAAAAUUCAUCAUUAGAAUUGUAAUAUUUAAUCAAUAUUAUAAUAAUAGUGUGCAUUUUUUCCAUAUAAGGACAUUGUAAUCUAUUAGUUAAAAUUAAUUUAUCAAAAAAUUGUAGAUAAGUGCUUAUUUAAAUUAAAAUGCUUGCGUUUUAACAUAAAAUAAAUUUCAUAAAUUUGAUAAAGUGCUGAUAGAUUUAUAUGAGUACAGUGCGUUAAUUUUUCGGAAUUAUAUAAUGGCAUAAUUAUCAUUGAUUUUUGUGUUUAUUAUAUGCACUUGUAUGAUUAACAAUGCGAAAGA
RNAcentral lists this ribosomal RNA (661 nucleotides) under Drosophila ornatifrons. RNAcentral's name for it is "eukaryotic LSU rRNA". It matches the Rfam family "Eukaryotic large subunit ribosomal RNA", at positions 100 to 630 of the family's 3401-position model. The record is from RNAcentral. Lineage: Eukaryota; Metazoa; Arthropoda; Insecta; Diptera; Drosophilidae.